UGAGGAAUAUUGGUCAAUGGGCGAGAGCCUGAACCAGCCAAGUAGCGUGCAGGAUGACGGCCCUAUGGGUUGUAAACUGCUUUUAUAUGGGAAUAAAGUGAGGGACGUGUCCCUUAUUGCAUGUACCAUACGAAUAAGGACCGGCUAAUUCCGUGCCAGCAGCCGCGGUAAUACGGAAGGUCCAGGCGUUAUCCGGAUUUAUUGGGUUUAAAGGGAGCGUAGGCCGUUUGGUAAGCGUGUUGUGAAAUGUAGGAGCUCAACUUCUAGAUUGCAGCGCGAACUGUCAGACUUGAGUGCGCACAACGUAGGCGGAAUUCAUGGUGUAGCGAUGAAAUGCUUAGAUAUCAUGAAGAACUCCGAUUGCGAAGGCAGCUUACGGGAGCGCAACUGACGCUGAAGCUCGAAGGUGCGGGUAUCGAACAGG
RNAcentral lists this ribosomal RNA (424 nucleotides) under Verrucomicrobiota bacterium. Its description in RNAcentral is "Verrucomicrobia bacterium partial 16S ribosomal RNA". It matches the Rfam family "Bacterial small subunit ribosomal RNA", at positions 355 to 776 of the family's 1533-position model. Lineage: Bacteria; Pseudomonadati; Verrucomicrobiota. The record is from RNAcentral.